This 480-nucleotide ribosomal RNA is filed under the name Allobates grillisimilis. RNAcentral's name for it is "partial 16S ribosomal RNA". It matches the Rfam family "Bacterial large subunit ribosomal RNA", at positions 1862 to 2539 of the family's 2925-position model. Lineage: Eukaryota; Metazoa; Chordata; Amphibia; Anura; Aromobatidae. The record is from RNAcentral.
CCCAGUGACAUUGUUUAACGGCCGCGGUAUCCUAACCGUGCGAAGGUAGCGUAAUCACUUGUUCUUUAAAUGAGGACUAGUAUGAACGGCUUCACGAGAGCUAUGCUGUCUCCUUUACUCAAUCAGUUAAACUAAUCUUCCCGUGAAGAAGCGGGAAUACCUUUAUAAGACGAGAAGACCCUAUGGAGCUUUAGACACUUCUAAACACUUGACCCUCCUCAUCAAAAUUUUACAAAAACCUCUACUAAGCCUGUCACCUUGUUUAAAGUUUUAGGUUGGGGCGACCACGGAGAAAAACCUAACCUCCACGUAGAAAGAAACUUCUUUCCUAAGCAAAAAGCCACAUCUUUAUGCAUCAACACAUUGACUUAAAUUGACCCAAUUACUUGAUCAACGAACCAAGUUACCCUAGGGAUAACAGCGCAAUCCGCUUUAAGAGCUCCUAUCGACAAGCGGGCUUACGACCUCGAUGUUGGAUCA